Molecule: ribosomal RNA, 474 nt
Filed under: uncultured bacterium
Lineage: Bacteria
Description: bacterial SSU rRNA
Rfam family: Bacterial small subunit ribosomal RNA
Source: RNAcentral
GAACGCUGGCGGCAUGCCUUACACAUGCAAGUCGAACGGCAGCACGGGAACAAUCCUGGUGGCGAGUGGCGAACGGGUGAGUAAUACGUCGGAACGUGCCCAAUCGUGGGGGGUAACGCAGCGAAAGCUGUGCUAAUACCGCAUAAGAUCUACGGAUGAAAGCAGGGGAUCGCAAGACCUUGCGCGAAUGGAGCGGCCGAUGGCAGAUUAGGUAGUUGGUGAGGUAAAGGCUCACCAAGCCUUCGAUCUGUAGCUGGUCUGAGAGGACGACCAGCCACACUGGGACUGAGACACGGCCCAGACUCCUACGGGAGGCAGCAGUGGGGAAUUUUGGACAAUGGGCGAAAGCCUGAUCCAGCCAUGCCGCGUGCAGGAUGAAGGCCUUCGGGUUGUAAACUGCUUUUGUACGGAACGAAAAGUCUCUUUCUAAUAAAGAGGGAUCAUGACGGUACCGUAAGAAUAAGCACCGGCUAA